CAGAAAAUCCAAACACGCUGCCCAAGUCCGACUUUCCUGAUGGCCUGAGCAGCAGCUGCCGUCCGCCCCAGUCGCUUCCUCCUUUCAACGUCUGGCAGCAGGUACUAAGAAGCAGAAAUGAGAUGCAAGGACCAUCCGCCGGCCGCAGAAAGGUGACCAAGGGAGGCAGGGCUGGAAAAGCCCAACGAAGAAUAAUCGAUCCCUAAAAAAUCACAAGCUGAUUCACGCUGGGAAGAGCUGCUGAGCAACCCCCCCCCCAGACUGCACCAGGCACAGAGGGGUACAGAUGCAUGAGGGGGUGCAGGAACCCCUCUCCCUCUGCCCAGAGCACCUGGGUGGCUCAGCGGUUGAGGAUCUGCCUUCCACUCAGGUGGGCAGAUGGAAUGCUAACCGUAGCCCUGACCCUGCGUGGUCUCCUAGUUGUUGGCACUGGUUAAGUAAGAAAGCUGCUGACUGACACGAGAAGCUGUUGAUGGAUGAAGGAACAGGCAAAAUGCUAAGAAGCAGAGCCGGUUAAAACUGACUUCACAGGACGCCUGGGUGGCUCAGCGGUUGAGCGUCUGCCUCUGGCUCAAGAUGAUCCGGGAUCAAGUCCCGCAUCGGGCUCCCUGCAUGGAGCCUGCUUCUCCCUCUGCCGCUGCCUCUGUCUCUGUGUCUGUCAUGAAUAAAUAAAUAAAAUAUUUAAAAAAAAAACCUGACUUCACAGAGGCGUCCAGGUGGCUCAGUCGGUUGGGCAUCUGCCUGUGACUCUGGUCGUGAUCCCAGGGCUCUGAUUGAGCUCCACAUCCUCUGCUCUGUGGGGACCUGC
This is a long non-coding RNA of Nyctereutes procyonoides (raccoon dog), 808 nucleotides long. RefSeq lists it as uncharacterized. NCBI's taxonomy places the organism in Eukaryota, Metazoa, Chordata, Mammalia, Carnivora, Canidae. The transcript is spliced from 3 exons. The record is from RefSeq and is a predicted model, not a curated record.